UACGUAGGGUGCAAGCGUUGUCCGGAAUUAUGGGGCGUAAAGAGCUCGUAGGCGGUUUGUUGCGUCGGCUGUGAAAUCCCGAGGCUCAACCUCGGGUCUGCAGUCGAUACGAGCAAACUAGAGUGUUGCAGGGGAGACUGGAAUUCCUGGUGUAGCGGUGAAAUGCGCAGAUAUCAGGAGGAACACCGGUGGCGAAGGCGGGUCUCUGGGCAACAACUGACGCUGAGGAGCGAAAGCGUGGGUAGCAAACAGG
Molecule: ribosomal RNA, 253 nt
Filed under: uncultured bacterium
Lineage: Bacteria
Description: partial 16S ribosomal RNA
Rfam family: Bacterial small subunit ribosomal RNA
Source: RNAcentral